GGAGUUGAGGGGAUGGAGGAUGGAAAGGAAAUGAGUAACCAUUAGCUGGUGAGGAAGAAAGGAAAGCCAGAGGAGGAGUGAAGUAAUGUACGGGGAGCAUUGCCAGGAUUGGAAGGAUGGAAGACUCUGCCAGAUAUAAGACCUUCAGCCUACUCCAUCCAAGGCAUCCAUCUGUCUUCAGAAGAGAUUAGAAUUUUGUUCUGAAGCCAUGCAAAGAGUAAGACCAAGUGCUAACAUCCAAUUUGCAUGUGCCGGGAGAGAAAAUUCUUCAUGGAUCUCUGGUGCUCCUACACAUCUCACUGAUGGAGUAACUGGGGCCAAGGGAGAUUACCAACUUGCCCAAGAUGUCAACAUUAGUAAGAGAAAGAGCCAAAUUUCAA
Molecule: long non-coding RNA, 380 nt
Organism: Homo sapiens (human)
Lineage: Eukaryota; Metazoa; Chordata; Mammalia; Primates; Hominidae
Exons: 4
Source: RefSeq, a predicted model, not a curated record